AUGCAAGUCAGAGCGGACAGAAGGGAGCUUGCUCCCGGAUGUUAGCGGCGGACGGGUGAGUAACACGUGGGUAACCUGCCUGUAAGACUGGGAUAACUCCGGGAAACCGGAGCUAAUACCGGAUAGUUCCUUGAACCGCAUGGUUCAAGGAUGAAAGACGGUUUCGGCUGUCACUUACCCAUGGACCCGCGGCGCAUUAGCUAGUUGGUGGGGUAAUGGCUCACCAAGGCGACGAUGCGUAGCCGACCUGAGAGGGUGAUCGGCCACACUGGGACUG
RNAcentral lists this ribosomal RNA (277 nucleotides) under Bacillus pumilus. Its description in RNAcentral is "partial 16S ribosomal RNA". It matches the Rfam family "Bacterial small subunit ribosomal RNA", at positions 55 to 321 of the family's 1533-position model. Lineage: Bacteria; Bacillati; Bacillota; Bacilli; Caryophanales; Bacillaceae. The record is from RNAcentral.